RNAcentral lists this long non-coding RNA (437 nucleotides) under Anser brachyrhynchus (Pink-footed goose). RNAcentral's name for it is "lncRNA (ENSABRG00000023140.1)". Lineage: Eukaryota; Metazoa; Chordata; Aves; Anseriformes; Anatidae. The record is from RNAcentral.
CGUUACAGAGCCUGUGUAUUGUAUCCUGCCUUGGGAGACCUUGAGGAAGCGGCGUGAAAACCGUGUUUAUAAAAGGAUGUAUUUGGAAGAAACACUGGAGGAACAGAGCAGAGUAUUUUCCCUCCCGUUGAUGCUGCAGAAGCCGGAGGCUCGCAGUGCCCCACAGCAGUGAGGGGGAGCACGGACCACAUGCGGAGAGGCCACAUUUCACUCCUGGCAGUGGGAAUUUGACCCCACUGCUCCCUGGUGACUCUCUAAGCCCUGGACUGGCAGUCCUCUGCCCACCACGUUUUGUACAAGGCAUGAAGUCCCACCAACAGGGACUGGUUGGUGUCACCUGCCUGGCUGCUCUCCUCUCUGGGAAGAUAUCCCUAGCAAACCGAAGCUGCCAAACACCCCUGGGACUCCAGUCUCCGUGCCAGAUAUUUGCUACAUAG